UACGGGGGGGGCAAGCGUUGUUCGGAAUUACUGGGCGUAAAGGGCUCGUAGGCGGCCAACUAAGUCGGACGUGAAAUCCCUCGGCUUAACCGGGGAACUGCGUCCGAUACUGGAUGGCUUGAGUUCGGGAGAGGGAUGCGGAACUCCAGGUGUAGCGGCGAAAUGCGUAGAUAUCUGGAGGAACACCGGUGGCGAAGGCGGCAUCCUGGACCGACACUGACGCUGAGGAGCGAAAGCCAGGGGAGCAAACAGG
This 253-nucleotide ribosomal RNA is filed under the name uncultured bacterium. Its description in RNAcentral is "partial 16S ribosomal RNA". It matches the Rfam family "Bacterial small subunit ribosomal RNA", at positions 524 to 776 of the family's 1533-position model. The record is from RNAcentral.